This 409-nucleotide ribosomal RNA is filed under the name uncultured bacterium. RNAcentral's name for it is "bacterial SSU rRNA". It matches the Rfam family "Bacterial small subunit ribosomal RNA", at positions 354 to 777 of the family's 1533-position model. The record is from RNAcentral.
GUUGGGAAUAUUGGACAAUGGAGGAAACUCUGAUCCAGUGACGCCGCGUGAAGGAAGAAGGUCUUCGGAUUGUAAACUUAUUUUGUCAGGGAAGAAAAAAAUGACUGUACCUGAAGAAAAAGCACCGGCUAACUACGUGCCAGCAGCCGCGGUAAUACGUAGGGUGCAAGCGUUAUCCGGAUUUACUGGGUGUAAAGGGCGAGUAGACGGCGAUGCAAGUCAGAUGUGAAAUGCUAGGGCUUAACCUUAGAACUGCAUCUGAAACUGUAUUGCUAGAGUGCAGGAGAGGUAAACGGAAUUCCUAGUGUAGCGGUGAAAUGCGUAGAUAUUAGGAGGAACAUCAGUGGCGAAGGCGGUUUACUGGACUGUAACUGACGUUGAGGCGCGAAAGCGUGGGGAGCAAACAGGA